ACGUGGGGCUCCGGCCUCGCCGAGAUAGAACCCUUGCCUUUUCGAGUACCGAAACGUUUCCUCGGCAGGCCCGCCUGCCAACGGGGACCCAAACAAACCCUUGAAUCACCAGUCACUGUCUGAGAAAACAAACAAAAAUCA
This 141-nucleotide unclassified non-coding RNA is filed under the name uncultured Ascomycota. Its description in RNAcentral is "sequence contains ITS1". The record is from RNAcentral. Lineage: Eukaryota; Fungi; Ascomycota.